RNAcentral lists this ribosomal RNA (305 nucleotides) under uncultured bacterium. Its description in RNAcentral is "bacterial SSU rRNA". It matches the Rfam family "Bacterial small subunit ribosomal RNA", at positions 338 to 660 of the family's 1533-position model. The record is from RNAcentral.
CCUACGGGACGCAGCAGUGGGGAAUAUUGCACAAUGGGGGAAACCCUGAUGCAGCAACGCCGCGUGAGUGAAGAAGUCAUUCGUGAUGUAAAGCUCUAUCAGCAGGGAAGAAAAUGACGGUACCUGAGUAAGAAGCCCCGGCUAACUACGUGCCAGCAGCCGCGGUAAUACGUAGGGGGCAAGCGUUAUCCGGAUUUACUGGGUGUAAAGGGAGCGCAGGCGGCAUGGCAAGUCAGAUGUGAAAGCCCGGGGCUCAACCCCGGGACUGCAUUUGAAACUGUCAGGCUGGAGUGCAGGAGAGGCAG